UCUACGGGCGGCAGCAGUGGGGAAUAUUGCACAAUGGGGGAAACCCUGAUGCAGCGACGCCGCGUGAGUGAAGAAGUACUUUGUUAUGUAAAGCUCUAUUAGCAGGGAAGAAAAUUACGGUACCUGAGCAAGAAGCCCCGGCUACCUACGUCCAAGCCGCCGCGGUCAGACGUAGGGGGCAAGCGGUAUCCGGAUUUACGGGGUGUAACGGGGGCGUAGACGGCAGGGCAGGUCUGGAGGGAAAGGCGGGGGCUAAAGCCCCGGACUGCUCUGGAAACUGUACGGCUGGAGUGCGGGAGAGGUAAGUGGAAUUCGUGGUGUAGCGGUGAAAUGCGUAGAUAUUAGGAGGAACACCAGUGGCGAAGGCGGCUUACUGGACUGUAACUGACGUUGAUGCUCGAAAGCGUGGGGAGCAAACAGGAUUAGAUACCCUAGUAGUC
Molecule: ribosomal RNA, 440 nt
Filed under: uncultured bacterium
Lineage: Bacteria
Description: partial 16S ribosomal RNA
Rfam family: Bacterial small subunit ribosomal RNA
Source: RNAcentral